This is a long non-coding RNA of Polistes canadensis, 1537 nucleotides long. RefSeq lists it as uncharacterized. The transcript has 6 exons. The record is from RefSeq and is a predicted model, not a curated record. Lineage: Eukaryota; Metazoa; Arthropoda; Insecta; Hymenoptera; Vespidae.
UUAGGUUGUCAGCCUACUUGAAUAUAAUUGGCUGCAUAGCAGUAGUGAGUACGCAUGAGUGAUUGCGGUGAGUGAGUGCGUGUAAGUGUGUAAAGGACACUAUAAGAGGACUUCAAAAGUCAUCUACUUAAAAAAGAAAGAAUAUAUAUCUAUAAAAUAUAAAACUUAAAUUGGUUUUGUCACAUUUAUGUGAUGUAUGCCAUAUGACUAUUAUAAAUUAAAGGAUAUCUGUUCUAACGACUAUGAAAUUAGUUAAUUGCAACGAGUGAAAAAAAUAUUAAUCGAGAAUAGAAGAGCAUGACAAAGUAUUGUGCAAUAUACAGCAAGUACAACAUAUUGAUGCAAUCUGGUUAUCAAAAGCUGGCAUUAGAUAUAAUGCUAAGAAUUAUGCUUGAAAAAGCUACUUUGAAGAGCGAUGCAGAGCGGAUGCAAAGUCGAUGUAAAUUUAUAGAAGACAAACAAUUAGCACCUUCACACAUUAAAGCGAUGAGUAAAUUGUAAGAUAGACUUAUUUUAUUCAAGUACAUUUUAGAUGAAUUUUGCGAUAAAAGAAAAACGGCUCUCUUAUGGUCUUUUAUAGACAUAUUAACAUUAAGUGAACCCAUUGGUGGAACACCAAAUUCUAUAGAAAUGCAUGCUUGUGACCAUAAAAGAUAUGUUGACGAUAUGCUUAUUUGGUUGCAUCAAGCAAUUUCUAUUGAAAAGGAAAACAUAUUAAUUUCAAUUAAGGAUUCCAAUAAAACUGAUCAGAAAUUUACUAAUGAUAAUAAUAGUUUUAAUAAGUUGCUAUAUACAAUUAAUAGGAAUAUUUAUUCUGGAUAUACCUGAUCAAAUUAAGCACUGUUACAGUCAAGACAAGUUUUCGGAGUAGAUUACAAAGAGAAAUUAAAACAGAGAGAACUUUUGGAGAAUGAGCUGAACCUUCAGAAAAUGAUUUAAUAUCGGUACCAUCUGUUUCGAGAUUAUUAUACCUCUUGAAUGAAAUUCUCUCCAUGGCUAACAUAGCCGAAGAUAGAGUAAAAUAUAUGUUUCAAUGUAUUAUCAAUGUGUUAUUAAAAGAAGUUAUUGAAACAGCUUCGAGAUUACCUACGGUUGAUAUGACUGCGUAUUUUCUUAAUUGUAUGCAUCAAAUACAAUCGACAUUAGGAUUAUAUGACUAUAUGGAUCAAAGAUUAGAAAGAUUACAGGCUCAGUUAGAUACUCAAAUUGAUACACUUAUAUUGGAAUAAACUAGCUCUGAAUUCGUAAACAUAAAUCUCGGAUCAAUUUAUACUAUUUUACAAAGGACGUAAACAGGGUCUUCUAUUUAAUAUUCUUGAAAUCAAUCUAUUAAGCGUUAUAGAGUUCAAAUAAAUCAUAUCUUUUGAAAUAUUAAUCAAUAUAAUUUUAUUAAUUUUUUUCGUUAUACUAAUUAAUAUAAUUUAUUAUUCUAACAUAUUAACAUAUUUGAGUAAUUUCAUUUAAAAUAAGUUAGAAACAUUUUUAAUAAUAUGCCAAAUGUAUUAUUAUUACGGCAAAUAAAUUUAUUACAAAAUUA